RNAcentral lists this ribosomal RNA (253 nucleotides) under uncultured bacterium. Its description in RNAcentral is "partial 16S ribosomal RNA". It matches the Rfam family "Bacterial small subunit ribosomal RNA", at positions 524 to 776 of the family's 1533-position model. The record is from RNAcentral.
UACGAAGGGGGCUAGCGUUGCUCGGAAUUACUGGGCGUAAAGGACGCGUAGGCGGUUCUAUAAGUCAGGCGUGAAAUUCCUGGGCUUAACCUGGGGGCUGCGCUUGAGACUGUGGAACUCGAGGUCAGAAGAGGGUCGUGGAAUUCCCAGUGUAGAGGUGAAAUUCGUAGAUAUUGGGAAGAACACCGGUGGCGAAGGCGGCGACCUGGUCUGAUACUGACGCUGAGGCGCGACAGCGUGGGGAGCAAACAGG